This 305-nucleotide ribosomal RNA is filed under the name uncultured bacterium. RNAcentral's name for it is "partial 16S ribosomal RNA". It matches the Rfam family "Bacterial small subunit ribosomal RNA", at positions 505 to 807 of the family's 1533-position model. The record is from RNAcentral.
ACAGCAGCAGCCGCGGUAAUACGGAGGGUGCAAGCGUUAAUCGGAAUUACUGGGCGUAAAGCGCACGCAGGCGGUCUGUCAAGUCAGAUGUGAAAUCCCCGGGCUUAACCUGGGAACUGCAUUUGAAACUGGCAGGCUAGAGUCUUGUAGAGGGGGGUAGAAUUCCAGGUGUAGCGGUGGAAUGCGUAGAGAUCUGGAGGAAUACCGGUGGCGAAGGCGGCCCCCUGGACAAAGACUGACGCUCAGGUGCGAAAGCGUGGGGAGCAAACAGGAUUAGAUACCCCAGUAGUCCCUGUCUCUUAUAC